RNAcentral lists this ribosomal RNA (253 nucleotides) under uncultured bacterium. RNAcentral's name for it is "partial 16S ribosomal RNA". It matches the Rfam family "Bacterial small subunit ribosomal RNA", at positions 524 to 776 of the family's 1533-position model. The record is from RNAcentral.
UACAGAGGGGGCAAGCGUUGUUCGGAAUUACUGGGCGUAAAGGGCGCGUAGGCGGCCUGUUAAGUCGAACGUGAAAUCCCCGGGCUCAACCCGGGAAUUGCGUCCGAUACUGGCAGGCUUGAAUCCGGGAGAGGGAUGUGGAGUUCCAGGUGUAGCGGUGAAAUGCGUAGAUAUCUGGAGGAACACCGGUGGCGAAGGCGGCAUCCUGGACCGGUAUUGACGCUGAGGCGCGAAAGCCAGGGGAGCAAACGGG